This 440-nucleotide ribosomal RNA is filed under the name uncultured bacterium. RNAcentral describes it as "partial 16S ribosomal RNA". It matches the Rfam family "Bacterial small subunit ribosomal RNA", at positions 338 to 795 of the family's 1533-position model. The record is from RNAcentral.
CCUACGGGAGGCAGCAGUGGGGGAUAUUGCACAAUGGGGGGAACCCUGAUGCAGCGACGCCGCGUGGGUGAAGAAGCGCCUCGGCGCGUAAAGCCCUGUCAGCAGGGAAGAAAAUGACGGUACCUGAAGAAGAAGCCCCGGCUAACUACGGGCCAGCAGCCGCGGUAAUACGUAGGGGGCAAGCGUUAUCCGGAUUUACUGGGUGGAAAGGGGGCGCAGACGGCGAUGCAAGCCAGGAGUGAAAGCCCGGGGCCCAACCCCGGGACUGCUCUUGGAACUGCGUGGCUGGAGUGCAGGAGGGGCAGGCGGAAUUCCUGGUGUAGCGGUGAAAUGCGUAGAUAUCAGGAGGAACACCGGUGGCGAAGGCGGCCUGCUGGACUGCAACUGACGUUGAGGCCCGAAAGCGUGGGGAGCAAACAGGAUUAGAUACCCCAGUAGUC